Molecule: ribosomal RNA, 522 nt
Filed under: uncultured bacterium
Lineage: Bacteria
Description: bacterial SSU rRNA
Rfam family: Bacterial small subunit ribosomal RNA
Source: RNAcentral
GAGUUUGAUCUGGCUCAGGAUGAACGCUGGCGGCGUGCUUAACACAUGCAAGUCGAACGGGAAUGCCACGCUGAUGCGAUUUCGGUCAAAUCAUGUGGCAUUCGAGUGGCGGACGGGUGAGUAACGCGUGGGUAACCUGCCUUACACAGGGGGAUAACACCUGGAAACAGGUGCUAAUACCGCAUAAGCGCACAGGGCCGCAUGGCCCGGUGUGAAAAACUCCGGUGGUGUAAGAUGGACCCGCGUCUGAUUAGCUUGUUGGCGGGGUAGGGGCCCACCAAGGCGACGAUCAGUAGCCGGCCUGAGAGGGUGGACGGCCACAUUGGGACUGAGACACGGCCCAAACUCCUACGGGAGGCAGCAGUGGGGGAUAUUGGACAAUGGGGGAAACCCUGAUCCAGCGACGCCGCGUGAGUGAAGAAGUAUUUCGGUAUGUAAAGCUCUGUCAGCAGGGAAGAAAGAAAUGACGGUACCUGACCAAGAAGCCCCGGCUAACUACGUGCCAGCAGCCGCGGUAAUACG